GACGAACGCUGGCGGCGUGCUUAACACAUGCAAGUCGAACGGAAAGGCCCUGCUUUUGUGGGGUGCUCGAGUGGCGAACGGGUGAGUAACACAUGAGUAACCUGCCCUUGACUUUGGGAUAACUUCAGGAAACUGGGGCUAAUACCGGAUAGGAGCUCCUGCUGCAUGGUGGGGGUUGGAAAGUUUCGGCGGUUGGGGAUGGACUCGCGGCUUAUGAGCUUGUUGGUGGGGUAGUGGCUUACCAAGGGUUUGACGGGUAGCCGGCCUGAGAGGGGGACCGGCCACAUGGGGACUGCGAGACGGAGCAGACUCCAACGGGAGGCAGCAGGGGGGAAUAUGGCACAAUGGGCGGAAGCCUGAUGCAGCGACGCCGCGUGCGGGAUGACGGCCUUCGGGUGGUAAACCGCUUUCGCCUGUGACGAAGCGGGAGUGACGGUAAUGGGUAAAGAAGCACCGGCUAACUACGUG
Molecule: ribosomal RNA, 468 nt
Filed under: uncultured bacterium
Lineage: Bacteria
Description: partial 16S ribosomal RNA
Rfam family: Bacterial small subunit ribosomal RNA
Source: RNAcentral